UGGGGAAUAUUGGACAAUGGGCGAAAGCCUGAUCCAGCCAUGCCGCGUGUGUGAAGAAGGUCUUCGGAUUGUAAAGCACUUUAAGUUGGGAGGAAGGGCAGUAAGCGAAUACCUUGCUGUUUUGACGUUACCGACAGAAUAAGCACCGGCUAACUCUGUGCCAGCAGCCGCGGUAAUACAGAGGGUGCAAGCGUUAAUCGGAAUUACUGGGCGUAAAGCGCGCGUAGGUGGUUCGUUAAGUUGAAUGUGAAAGCCCCGGGCUCAACCUGGGAACUGCAUCCAAAACUGGCGAGCUAGAGUAGGGCAGAGGGUGGUGGAAUGUCCUGUGUAGCGGUGAAAUGCGUAGAUAUAGGAAGGAACACCAGUGGCGAAGGCGACCACCUGGGCUCAUACUGACACUGAGGUGCGAAAGAGUGGGGAGCAAACAGG
Molecule: ribosomal RNA, 429 nt
Filed under: Pseudomonadota bacterium
Lineage: Bacteria; Pseudomonadati; Pseudomonadota
Description: Proteobacteria bacterium partial 16S ribosomal RNA
Rfam family: Bacterial small subunit ribosomal RNA
Source: RNAcentral